GUAACUGACAAAUAUAUACACAUUACUUAAUUCCACUCUCAUGCUCCACUAGUCAUUACCGCUAUUAUUCGCUUUUACUAAUCGUUCUGUGGGUGAGGGUGAGGGACGGGUAGAGGACGUGUUGUGUACUCGUCCACCUCUUGUUUACCUGGGGUCGGGCUGCUGCCAGAUGUCCGCCUCGCACCAUCACUCACUCUCAUAUUUCCCCAACUAACGACUCACUCAUUGCCUCCAGCUUUGCUGUCUCCAAGGUGACAAAAUCAAAAGUGAGCAAUUCCCACAGGCUGUAGGACUCUGGACCACUAGGGUGACAAUAUAUAUUGUAUCAGGCAAUAUAUAUGUCUGGAACCCUUGAGUUUAGAGACAAAACCAUAAGUACCCAGAGUCCACAGGCAUGGCCCUGUGACACCUGUGAGCACUGAGGGAAUACUAUUAAAAGUGCUCAGAGUCUACAGAUACAGAACUGUGGUGCUCAGGAUCCAUAAGCAAUCCUCCACCACCACCUUCUCCUCCACCAACACCUCCACCAACGCCACCUCCAACACCGCCUCCAACACCACCACCCACUCCACCACCCACACCUCCCCCAUCUCCUCCACCCCCUCCCCCACCACCCCCACCACCACCACCGCCAU
Molecule: long non-coding RNA, 635 nt
Organism: Eriocheir sinensis (Chinese mitten crab)
Lineage: Eukaryota; Metazoa; Arthropoda; Malacostraca; Decapoda; Varunidae
Exons: 3
Source: RefSeq, a predicted model, not a curated record